RNAcentral lists this ribosomal RNA (447 nucleotides) under uncultured bacterium. RNAcentral's name for it is "partial 16S ribosomal RNA". It matches the Rfam family "Bacterial small subunit ribosomal RNA", at positions 29 to 523 of the family's 1533-position model. The record is from RNAcentral.
AACGAACGCUGGCGGCAGGCUUAACACAUGCAAGUCGAACGCCCCGCAAGGGGAGUGGCAGACGGGUGAGUAACACGUGGGAAUCUACCUAGUUCUACGGAAUAGCCCAGGGAAACUUGGAUUAAUACCGUAUACGCCCUAUGGGGGAAAGAUUUAUCGGAAUUAGAUGAGCCCGCGGUUGAUUAGCUAGUUGGUGAGGUAAUGGCUCACCAAGGCGACGAUCAAUAGCUGGUCUGAGAGGAUGACCAGCCACACUGGAACUGAGACACGGUCCAGACUCCUACGGGAGGCAGCAGUGGGGAAUAUUGGACAAUGGGCGCAAGCCUGAUCCAGCCAUGCCGCGUGAGUGACGAAGGCCUUAGGGUUGUAAAGCUCUUUUAACGGGGAAGAUAAUGACGGUACCCGUAGAAUAAGCUCCGGCUAACUUCGUGCCAGCCGCCGCGGUAA